Molecule: transfer RNA, 72 nt
Filed under: Pangasius djambal
Lineage: Eukaryota; Metazoa; Chordata; Actinopteri; Siluriformes; Pangasiidae
Description: tRNA-Glu
Rfam family: tRNA
About the family: Transfer RNA (tRNA) molecules are approximately 80 nucleotides in length. Their secondary structure includes four short double-helical elements and three loops (D, anti-codon, and T loops).
Source: RNAcentral
UCCCUGGAGGACUAGUGGUUAGGCCACAGCGCUCUCACCACUGUGACCUGGGUUCAAUUCCUGGCCAGGGAA